This 77-nucleotide transfer RNA is filed under the name Burkholderia sp. Bp9125. RNAcentral describes it as "tRNA-Ile". It matches the Rfam family "tRNA". From Rfam's summary of the family: Transfer RNA (tRNA) molecules are approximately 80 nucleotides in length. Lineage: Bacteria; Pseudomonadati; Pseudomonadota; Betaproteobacteria; Burkholderiales; Burkholderiaceae. The record is from RNAcentral.
GGUGGACAAGCUCAUCUGGAUGAGCACUCGCUUGAUAAGCGAGAGGCAGAUAGGUUCGAAUCCUACGUUCACCACCA